UUAUUCGUAGCUGGCAAUCAAACCAUUAAAAAAAAACAAUUCAAUUAGUAGUUUUACAAGUUUGAUCAAUUUGAUGCAGUCAAAGACACAAUACCCUAAAUAAGCUCAAACAAAAUGUUCGACCACGCUAAAGCAAGUGAACACAAGAAAAAUCCUAAAUUAACAUGAAUGAAGUGGUCAGUCACUUGGCGUGAAAGUUUUAUCUUUCUUACCUUAAUAAAGGGGAGGCCGCCUUUACGGACAAAAUACCCUCCAACAACCAUAAUAUACAUUCCUGUUCAAGAAGUAAGCAGAAGUACAGAUUUAAAUGGCAAAAAGGAACUGUAAAAACAAUAGGAAGAGUAAAAACAAGGGAUAAUUACACAUACUCCCUUAAUGUUUCACCAUGUAUCAUAGAAUUCGCCAUGGUUCCAAAUAUUACAUAGACCUUCAUUUUGAGUUUAAUUCAGAAGUGAACUGAUUAGCCCCUUAUGUAAGAUAUAUGGACUUAUAUCUACAUACAUAUGAACAAUAUACGGAUAAAUUAUAUGUUAU
This 534-nucleotide long non-coding RNA is filed under the name Nicotiana benthamiana. RNAcentral's name for it is "long non-coding RNA (NBEN_LNC031343)". Lineage: Eukaryota; Viridiplantae; Streptophyta; Magnoliopsida; Solanales; Solanaceae. The record is from RNAcentral.